Molecule: non-coding RNA, 166 nt
Organism: Lysinibacillus sphaericus OT4b.31
Lineage: Bacteria; Bacillati; Bacillota; Bacilli; Caryophanales; Bacillaceae
Source: Rfam
AAAUAUCCUCGUUAGGUGAGGCUCCUGUGUAGGAGAUAUGCUACUGCCCAGAAAUGUCGAAAGACGCCAAUGGGUCAACAGAAACCAUCGACAUAAGGUGGUUUUUAAUGUAGCUGGCUUUGUCCUAUGCCACACAGUGCUAAAGCUCUACGAAUGGAGGAACAGA